GAUGAACGCUAGCUACAGGCUUAACACAUGCAAGUCGAGGGGUAACGAGAGGAAAGCUUGCUUUCCUUGUCGACGACCGGCGCACGGGUGAGUAACGCGUACCCAACCUGCCCCCAACUAAGGAAUAACCUUGCGAAAGUAAGACUAAUACCUUAUAAUUUCCUCAGAUGACAUCUGACGAGGAAUAAAGAUUUAUCGGUUGUGGAUGGGGAUGCGUCUGAUUAGCUUGUUGGCGGGGUAACGGCCCACCAAGGCAACGAUCAGUAGGGGUUCUGAGAGGAAGGUCCCCCGCAUUGGAACUGAGACACGGUCCAAACUCCGACGGGAGGCAGCAGUGAGGAAUAUUGGUCAAUGGGCGGAAGCCUGAACCGGCCAAGUAGCGUGCAGGAUGACGGCCCUAUGGGUUGUAAACUGCUUUUAUACAGGAAUAAAGUUAGCCACGUGUGGUUAUUUGUAGGUACUGUAUGAAUAAGGACCGGCUAAUUCCGUGCCAGCCGCCGCCAUAA
RNAcentral lists this ribosomal RNA (506 nucleotides) under uncultured bacterium. Its description in RNAcentral is "partial 16S ribosomal RNA". It matches the Rfam family "Bacterial small subunit ribosomal RNA", at positions 28 to 523 of the family's 1533-position model. The record is from RNAcentral.